Long non-coding RNA from Lolium perenne, 1212 nucleotides. RefSeq lists it as uncharacterized. Lineage: Eukaryota; Viridiplantae; Streptophyta; Magnoliopsida; Poales; Poaceae. The record is from RefSeq and is a predicted model, not a curated record.
ACUGGCUGCUGGUCCAUGCAUAUAUGUCUAUUUAAGGGAUUUGUAAAAUCGUUUGUAGAGAAGGCCAGCAUAGCUGAGAGGAAGAACAAGAAGAGGAGCUGAGUAGCACUCCAACAUUUCAUCGAUCUAUUCCAUCGUCGCCUUCGUCGCUGCAACGAGUAAACUAUUGCGCCGCUUAUAGCCAAGGACUGCAGAUCCGCUGUGUUUUGCAUAGGUGAAACAGUAAUCUUCUUUUUUCCCGGAAAUACUUGAACCUGGACAGAAUUUCUAGAUCCUCACCAGGAAAACAAAGAGGCCAAGCUUAUCAUUGACAUAAAGCUGCAGAUAUGGAUGUCGAUGAUAUCUUCAUCAAUUUACCUAACGGCGCAACCACUGAUAUCGCGGGCGUUAUCAUGUAUGUUAGCCCACUAGACCACGAGACAUAUUUCCCGGUAGGAAUGAGGGAAGUAGCAGUGGUGGACUCCACUAAUCACAUUGUGUUCCUCCGCAUUUUUGAUGAACUUGCUCAGAGGCAUGAAGAACAACUAUUGACUGGUGAAAAGCAUUAUUCAUUUGUCAUGGCAACCUCUAUGCAAGUUGAUCAAGCCUCAAGAAGUCUUUUAAGUACAUCGGCAACCAUAAUUACGUUCCAUCGAUGCUCAGCAUGUCAUCACUUUGACAUGCUUGAAGAUGACUAUAAUUUUUUAUUACUGAUUCACCAUUCCUGAUAAGAACUAGAUGUCUAAUUAUUUCAUGUUGUAGGUGUGCGUGAACGAAUUUGUAAUGACUUGUAUUCCGGUGAAGCGGUAAAAAAUGUUGUUCUUUUAAGGAGGGAUGCUCAGAAGACGGCCAAUGAGUACAAUGGAGUUCAACUACCUGCCCAAGCUUCUUCGAUCAAACACAUCUUUAAACAUCUGACGCAAAGUACACCCCACAUCGCGCCAGCUCAAGUUAACAAGUUUGAUGAGGUUGAUUAAGCAUAUAGGUCAAGAAUAAAUUUUCCUCGCGAAAAGUUUAGUUUUGUUAUUGUUAUUAUUUCUUUCCCAAUGUUGCAAAAGUAAAGGUAGCAUGUUCUUCUAUUCACACUAUGUCCCAGUCUGUAUCUGCUAGGUUAACAACUUCCAAUCCAUCCACAGCAUGGGAAAUAAAUGUACGGAAUAAGCUUGUACCUGUACUGCUGUUGUAGCCAAAUGUUCUCUGUGCUCACUUAAUGCAGUAAUUUCUUGACAGCAA